This 230-nucleotide ribosomal RNA is filed under the name uncultured Gardnerella sp. RNAcentral's name for it is "partial 16S ribosomal RNA". It matches the Rfam family "Bacterial small subunit ribosomal RNA", at positions 127 to 355 of the family's 1533-position model. Lineage: Bacteria; Bacillati; Actinomycetota; Actinomycetes; Bifidobacteriales; Bifidobacteriaceae. The record is from RNAcentral.
UGCCCCAUGCUCCAGAAUAGCUCUUGGAAACGGGUGGUAAUGCUGGAUGCUCCAACUUGACGCAUGUCUUGUUGGGAAGUGUUUAGUGGCAGUGGGAGUGGGGUCGCGUCCUAUCAGCUUGUAGGGCGGGGUAAUGGCCCACCUAGGCUUCGACGGGUAGCCGGCCUGAGAGGGCGGACGGCCACAUUGGGACUGAGAUACGGCCCAGACUCCUACGGGAGGCAGCAGCU